AUAACCGUAGUAAUUCGUAGGGCUAAUACGUGCGAAGCGCCGAAGCCGCGAGGCGACGGCGUUCUCGCCGGAUGUAGGAACCGACCCGGGGACCGCCGGGGCAACCCGGCGCCCCCGAGACGGGGCGAACCACGGUGAAAUGACGGAUCGUCGGCCCCGCGCCGGCGACUCGCCGAAUGAGUUUCUGACCUAUCAACUCGAGACGGCGGGGUAGAGGCCCGCCGCGGUAACGACGGGUAACGGGGAAUCAGGGUUCGAUUCCGGAGAGGGAGCCCGAGAAACGGCUACCACUUCCAAGGAAGGCAGCAGGCGCGCAACUUACCCUAAUCUCGAUUCGAGGAGGUAGUGACAAGAAAUACCGAUGCGGGACCCUACGGGUGCCGCGUUCGGAAUGAGUACGAUUCGAACCACCUAACGAGGAACGAUCGGAGGGCAAGUCUGGUGCCAGCAGCCGCGGUAAUUCCAGCUCCAAUAGCGUAC
Molecule: ribosomal RNA, 480 nt
Filed under: uncultured eukaryote
Lineage: Eukaryota
Description: bacterial SSU rRNA
Rfam family: Eukaryotic small subunit ribosomal RNA
Source: RNAcentral